RNAcentral lists this small RNA (511 nucleotides) under Arabidopsis thaliana (thale cress). RNAcentral's name for it is "ATSL304800". Lineage: Eukaryota; Viridiplantae; Streptophyta; Magnoliopsida; Brassicales; Brassicaceae. The record is from RNAcentral.
AUAUAUAUAUAUAUAUCUACAUAUAUAUUUUUGCAGUCAUUUUGUGAAAUAAAUCUUGGAGUUGUAUAUUAUUUACAAUGGCUGACAUUGGCUUUUAAUUAUUGAUUUUCUUUUGGCAAUAAAUUGAUUAAUAAACAAAAAAUAUUCCAAAUAUAUUCCAAUCCCAUAUAUCACGCAGAUUUCUCCAAAAUUUGAACUAAAUUUCGGAAAUUAUUUAAAAUAAAAAAUAUUUGACAAACCAAAAUACAAUUGCAAUCCCUUAAAAUGAGCAAAACUCACCUAAAUACAUUCCUUAUCAGUUUACUAAAUCUUAUUUCUCCAACAUUUGAAUUAGAUUUCGACAACUAUUUAAAACAAAAAUUUGUUUGACAAACUAAAAUAUAAUUGCAAUCCCGUAAAAUAUUUUUUUAAAUUAGCGGUGUACCGCAGAUUUUUUUAACGGGACGGGUUUGGUAGAACGGGUUUGGAAGGAUGUUACUUAAUAACAAUUGUAAACUAUAAAAUAUAAAUA